AUUGAACGCUGGCGGCAUGCCUAACACAUGCAAGUCGAACGGGGGUAGCAAUACCCUAGUGGCGGACGGGUGAGGAACGCGUAGGAAUCGGCCCACGAGUGGGGGACAACCUGGGGAAACUCAGGCUAAUACCGCAUGAGCUCGAGAGAGGAAAGCGGGGGAUCGUAAGACCUCGCGCUGGUGGAGGAGCCUACGUCCGAUUAGCUGGUUGGUGAGGUAAUAGCUCACCAAGGCGACGAUCGGUAGCGGGUCUGAGAGGACGACCCGCCACACUGGGACUGAGACACGGCCCAGACUCCUACGGGAGGCAGCAGUGGGGAAUCUUGGACAAUGGGCGCAAGCCUGAUCCAGCAAUGCCGCGUGGGUGAAGACGGCCUGCGGGUUGUAAAGCCCUUUAGGCGGGGAGGAACGACCGGGCGCGUAACAUCGUUCGGAAGUGACGUUACCCGCGGAAUAAGCACCGGCUAACUCCGUGCCAGCAGCCGCGGUAAU
Molecule: ribosomal RNA, 492 nt
Filed under: uncultured bacterium
Lineage: Bacteria
Description: bacterial SSU rRNA
Rfam family: Bacterial small subunit ribosomal RNA
Source: RNAcentral